RNAcentral lists this ribosomal RNA (789 nucleotides) under Escherichia coli. RNAcentral's name for it is "bacterial SSU rRNA". It matches the Rfam family "Bacterial small subunit ribosomal RNA", at positions 1 to 779 of the family's 1533-position model. RNAcentral also lists the same sequence under 2 other names. The record is from RNAcentral. Lineage: Bacteria; Pseudomonadati; Pseudomonadota; Gammaproteobacteria; Enterobacterales; Enterobacteriaceae.
AAAUUGAAGAGUUUGAUCAUGGCUCAGAUUGAACGCUGGCGGCAGGCCUAACACAUGCAAGUCGAACGGUAACAGGAAACAGCUUGCUGUUUCGCUGACGAGUGGCGGACGGGUGAGUAAUGUCUGGGAAACUGCCCGAUGGAGGGGGAUAACUACUGGAAACGGUAGCUAAUACCGCAUAACGUCGCAAGACCAAAGAGGGGGACCUUCGGGCCUCUUGCUAUCGGAUGUGCCCAGAUGGGAUUAGCUAGUAGGUGGGGUAACGGCUCACCUAGGCGACGAUCCCUAGCUGGUCUGAGAGGAUGACCAGCCACACUGGAACUGAGACACGGUCCAGACUCCUACGGGAGGCAGCAGUGGGGAAUAUUGCACAAUGGGCGCAAGCCUGAUGCAGCCAUGCCGCGUGUAUGAAGAAGGCCUUCGGGUUGUAAAGUACUUUCAGCGGGGAGGAAGGGAGUAAAGUUAAUACCUUUGCUCAUUGACGUUACCCGCAGAAGAAGCACCGGCUAACUCCGUGCCAGCAGCCGCGGUAAUACGGAGGGUGCAAGCGUUAAUCGGAAUUACUGGGCGUAAAGCGCACGCAGGCGGUUUGUUAAGUCAGAUGUGAAAUCCCCGGGCUCAACCUGGGAACUGCAUCUGAUACUGGCAAGCUUGAGUCUCGUAGAGGGGGGUAGAAUUCCAGGUGUAGCGGUGAAAUGCGUAGAGAUCUGGAGGAAUACCGGUGGCGAAGGCGGCCCCCUGGACGAAGACUGACGCUCAGGUGCGAAAGCGUGGGGAGCAAACAGGAUU